This 449-nucleotide ribosomal RNA is filed under the name uncultured bacterium. RNAcentral describes it as "partial 16S ribosomal RNA". It matches the Rfam family "Bacterial small subunit ribosomal RNA", at positions 29 to 523 of the family's 1533-position model. The record is from RNAcentral.
AGCGAACGCUGGCGGCAGGCCUAACACAUGCAAGUCGAACGAACUCUUCGGAGUUAGUGGCGGACGGGUGAGUAACACGUGGGAACGUGCCUUUAGGUUCGGAAUAACUCAGAGAAACUUGUGCUAAUACCGAAUGUGCCCUUCGGGGGAAAGAUUUAUCGCCUUUAGAGCGGCCCGCGUCUGAUUAGCUAGUUGGUGAGGUAAAGGCUCACCAAGGCGACGAACAGUAGCUGGUCUGAGAGGAUGAUCAGCCACAUUGGGACUGAGACACGGCCCAAACUCCUACGGGAGGCAGCAGUGGGGAAUCUUGCGCAAUGGGCGAAAGCCUGACGCAGCCAUGCCGCGUGAAUGAUGAAGGUCUUAGGAUUGUAAAAUUCUUUCACCGGGGACGAUAAUGACGGUACCCGGAGAAGAAGCCCCGGCUAACUUCGUGCCAGCCGCCGCUGUAA